GGGGGCGAUUCGGAUUCGACGACGGUAUCAAACCCUGAGGUGCAUGCCGAGGACGUAGUGGUUCUCGUUAAUCAAAACACUACAAACCUUCUAGUUGCCAAUGAAAGCGACUACGAAGCUGUAGCUUUUGCUGCUUAAUCGUAACUAAACACUACGAAGCUUCCAGUCUGUCCGGUUCGUUCGCUGGCCGGUUUUUCAGACUGUCAUCGUAAGCGGACUCGCCACGUUCAGCAGUCUUCUGGCUAACGGGCUAAAACUUGUGAAGAUCGCUUUGUAGAACCCCGACCACUGGGUCGUUACAGAGUUAAAUUUAAAGGUGGAUCUAAGCAUGUAGAGCCAAAGGCUGCGAAUCGGCGGACGCGGGUUCAAAUCCCGCCGCCUCCACCA
Molecule: transfer-messenger RNA, 387 nt
Filed under: Endozoicomonas montiporae CL-33
Lineage: Bacteria; Pseudomonadati; Pseudomonadota; Gammaproteobacteria; Oceanospirillales; Endozoicomonadaceae
Also listed under: 1 other name
Rfam family: transfer-messenger RNA
About the family: Bacterial tmRNA, also known as 10Sa RNA or SsrA, is named for its dual tRNA and mRNA-like properties.
Source: RNAcentral